GUGUCAAUAGGGGUCAAUAUGAGUCAAUAGGGGUCAAUAGGAGUCAAUAGGGGUCAAUAGGGGUCAAUAGGGGUCAACAUAAUUCAAUUGGGGUCAACAUGAGUCAAUAUGAGUCAAUAGGGGUCAACAUGAGUCAAUAGGGGUCAACUGAGUCAAUAGGGGUCAAUUGGGGUCAACAUGAGUCAAUAGGGGUCAAUUAGAGUCAAUAGGGGUCAACAUGAGUCAAUAGGGGUCAAUAGCGGUCAAUUGGGGUCAACAUGAGUCAAUAGGGGUCAACAUGAGUCAAUAGGGGUCAAUAGGGGUCAAUUGGGGUCAACAUGAGUCAAUAGGGGUCAAUAUGAGUCAAUAGGGGUCAACAUGAGUCAAUAGGGGUCAAUAGGGGUCAAUUGGGGUCAACAUGAGUCAAUAGGGGUUAAUAUGAGUCAAUAGGGGUCAACAUGAGUCAAUAGGGGUCAAUUGGGGUCAACAUGAGUCAAUAGGAGUCAAUAGGGGUCAAUAUGAGUCAAUAGGGGUCAAUAGAGGUCAAUAGGGGUCAAUAGAGGUCAACAGGAGUCAAUAGAGGUCAAUAGAGGUCAAUAGAGGUCAAUAGGGGUCAACAGGAGUCAAUAGAGGUCAAUAGAGGUCAAUAGGGGUCAAUAGGGGUCAAUAGAGGUCAAUAGGGGUCAAUAGGGG
RNAcentral lists this long non-coding RNA (672 nucleotides) under Salmo salar (Atlantic salmon). RNAcentral's name for it is "lncRNA (ENSSSAG00000115525.1)". Lineage: Eukaryota; Metazoa; Chordata; Actinopteri; Salmoniformes; Salmonidae. The record is from RNAcentral.